RNAcentral lists this long non-coding RNA (551 nucleotides) under Arabidopsis lyrata. Its description in RNAcentral is "long non-coding RNA (ALYR_LNC001390)". The record is from RNAcentral. Lineage: Eukaryota; Viridiplantae; Streptophyta; Magnoliopsida; Brassicales; Brassicaceae.
CUUAUUAUAUGGAGGGGGUGGUGGAGAGCUGUAGAUGAAUGGACGAUGAAGAGCAGACUUGUAAACAUAUGGAGGGGGUGGUGGAGAGCUAUAGAUGAAUGGAAGAUGAAGGGCAGACUUGUAAACAUAUGGAGGGGGUGGUGGAGAGCUAUAGAUGAAUGGACGAUGAAGGGCAGACUUGUAAACAUAUGGAGGAGGUGGUGCAGAGCUGUAGAUGAAUGGACGAUGAAAGGUAGACUUGUAAACAUAUGGAGGCGGUGGUGGAGAGCUGUAGAUGAAUGGAAAAGGAGGAGGAGACUGAUAAACAUAUGGAGGGGAUGGUGGAGAGCUGUAGACGAAUGAAAGAGGAGGAGGAGAAAGAUAAACAUAUGGAGGUAGUGGUGGAGAGCUGUAGACGUAUGGAGGAGGUGGUGGUGGAGAGCUGUAGACGUAUGGAGGAGGUGGUGGUGGAGAGCUGUAGACGUAUGGAGGAGGUGGUGGUGGAGAGUUGUAGACGUAUGGAGGAGGUGGUGGGGAGCUAUAGAGGUAAGGAGCCGGUGGGGGAGACUUGU